Anopheles moucheti is the source of this 712-nucleotide long non-coding RNA. RefSeq lists it as uncharacterized. The record is from RefSeq and is a predicted model, not a curated record. The transcript has 3 exons. Lineage: Eukaryota; Metazoa; Arthropoda; Insecta; Diptera; Culicidae.
CAUCGAUCACGCGUCCCUUUGGCCAACUGUUCCGCGGCAAACAAUUGUCGACUACUAUCACUACAUCUCCCACCUGAAUCGGCCGCACCGACACAAACCACUUAGAUCGACGGGUCAGCGUGGGGAGGUAUUCCGAUACCCAUCUCCUCCAGAAUACGUCAGCGUUGCGUUGGGCGGCUCUCCACGCUGAUUUAGCGGCGAUACCACUGUCGUCAAAUACGGCGGGCGGCUUGCACCCGUUGGAGCUUCCGAGUAGUAGAUGGUUUGGUGUGAUCGGUGUGUCCAUCUCGUCGUCCAACGGCACGUAGACCGGACCAGUCUCUCCCAGCAUCCGCCGAAAUGUGGUGCGGCUGGCGGAUUAAAACUCCAUUUCAUCUCGGGCCCAACGAAUUCGUCCAUCAUCGCGUUAACAUCCACUGUCUGCAAGGCUUCCUCGAGCUCCCGAGCCGACCCGACGAAAUUGGUCCCCCUAUCGCUGAUGAUCUCUAUCGGUUUUCCGCGCCUAGCGAUGAAGCGCCGAAUCGCCAUAAUGCAGGACGCCGUUGUGAGGGAGUGAGCCAUCUCCAAAUGGAUAGCUCUGCACGUCAGACAGGAGCUCGUACCGUUUCAUCGUUGCAGCUUUGUUACAUGGCAAUCGGACGUCAUCAUAUCUCCAUAGUAAGCCCGUUUCGUAUCGAUCGCCCUGCAGUUUGGUUUCUCGGUUAAGUAUCAC